This 213-nucleotide long non-coding RNA is filed under the name Vigna radiata. RNAcentral's name for it is "long non-coding RNA (VRAD_LNC017052)". Lineage: Eukaryota; Viridiplantae; Streptophyta; Magnoliopsida; Fabales; Fabaceae. The record is from RNAcentral.
CAAAAUUAAAAAUAAAAAUUAAACACAGCCGAAUUUAAUUUAAAACAUUAAAGUGCAUGAAAAUAUUAAACUGAACAAUACAACAUAUAAAUAUUCAAGCACAACUAAAAUUAUUAAAAUUGCAACACUUAAUUAAAAAGAUAAAAGAAAAUAAUUCAUAUAAAAUAUUCUAAUAAUGCAAAAAAAAAUUAAAAAAAAAAGCAUAAAACCUCC